This 424-nucleotide ribosomal RNA is filed under the name uncultured bacterium. RNAcentral's name for it is "bacterial SSU rRNA". It matches the Rfam family "Bacterial small subunit ribosomal RNA", at positions 355 to 796 of the family's 1533-position model. The record is from RNAcentral.
UGGGGAAUAUUGGACAAUGGGCGCAAGCCUGAUCCAGCAAUGCCGCGUGGGUGAAGAAGGUCUUCGGAUUGUAAAGCCCUUUCGACGGGGACGAUGAUGACGGUACCCGUAGAAGAAGCCCCGGCUAACUUCGUGCCAGCAGCCGCGGUAAUACGAAGGGGGCUAGCGUUGCUCGGAAUGACUGGGCGUAAAGGGCGCGUAGGCGGCGAUGAUAGUCAGGCGUGAAAUUCCUGGGCUCAACCUGGGGACUGCGCUUGAUACGUUAUUGCUUGAGUUCGGAAGAGGGUCGUGGAAUUCCCAGUGUAGAGGUGAAAUUCGUAGAUAUUGGGAAGAACACCGGUGGCGAAGGCGGCGACCUGGUCCGAAACUGACGCUGAGGCGCGAAAGCGUGGGGAGCAAACAGGAUUAGAUACCCCCGUAGUCC